GACGAACGCUGGCGGCGUGCUUAACACAUGCAAGUCGAACGGAAAGGCCCUGCUUGCAGGGUACUCGAGUGGCGAACGGGUGAGUAACACGUGGGUGAUCUGCCCUGCACUUCGGGAUAAGCCUGGGAAACUGGGUCUAAUACCGGAUAGGAGCCAUUUUGAGUGUGAUGGUUGGAAAGUUUUUUCGGUGUAGGAUGAGCUCGCGGCCUAUCAGCUUGUUGGUGGGGUAAUGGCCUACCAAGGCGGCGACGGGUAGCCGGCCUGAGAGGGUGGACGGCCACAUUGGGACUGAGAUACGGCCCAGACUCCUACGGGAGGCAGCAGGGGGGAAUAUUGCACAAUGGGCGCGAGCCUGAUGCAGCGACGCCGCGGGGGGGAGGACGGCCUUCGGGUUGGAAACUCCUUUCGCUAGGGACGAAGCUUUUUGUGACGGUACCUAGAUAAGAAGCACCGGCUAACUACGUG
Molecule: ribosomal RNA, 465 nt
Filed under: uncultured bacterium
Lineage: Bacteria
Description: partial 16S ribosomal RNA
Rfam family: Bacterial small subunit ribosomal RNA
Source: RNAcentral